UUUGAUAUAUUUAAUUUAGAAUUUAUUUUUUGGGAAAAUGAGGACGUAGUCAAAUAGUUUUGGAGGGGGCCCCUCCUUCUCGCUGCUC
Molecule: transfer RNA, 88 nt
Filed under: Globodera pallida
Lineage: Eukaryota; Metazoa; Nematoda; Chromadorea; Rhabditida; Heteroderidae
Description: tRNA-Pro
Source: RNAcentral